RNAcentral lists this ribosomal RNA (468 nucleotides) under uncultured bacterium. Its description in RNAcentral is "partial 16S ribosomal RNA". It matches the Rfam family "Bacterial small subunit ribosomal RNA", at positions 28 to 507 of the family's 1533-position model. The record is from RNAcentral.
GACGAACGCUGGCGGCGUGCUUAACACAUGCCAGUCGAACGGAAAGGCCCUGCUUUUGUGGGGUGCUCGAGUGGCGAACGGGUGAGUAACACGUGAGUAACCUGCCCUUGACUUUGGGAUAACUUCAGGAAACUGGGGCUAAUACCGGAUAGGAGCUCCUGCUGCAUGGUGGGGGUUGGAAAGUUUCGGCGGUUGGGGAUGGACUCGCGGCUUAUCAGCUUGUUGGUGGGGUAGUGGCUUACCAAGGCUUUGACGGGUAGCCGGCCUGAGAGGGUGACCGGCCACAAUGGGACUGAGGUACGGCCCAGACUCCUACGGGAGGCAGCAGUGGGGAAUAUUGCACAAUGGGCGGAAGCCUGAUGCAGCAACGCCGCGUGCGGGAUGACGGCCUUCGGGUUGUAAACCGCUUUCGCCUGUGACGAAGCGUGAGUGACGGUAAUGGGUGAAGAAGCACCGGCUAACUACGUG